This 317-nucleotide long non-coding RNA is filed under the name Ricinus communis (castor bean). RNAcentral describes it as "long non-coding RNA (RCOM_LNC001396)". Lineage: Eukaryota; Viridiplantae; Streptophyta; Magnoliopsida; Malpighiales; Euphorbiaceae. The record is from RNAcentral.
UUGAAGCUCAUCUUGAUGUAAUGGACUUGAAAACUUAUAGCCAUUAACACGGGUAUCAUCAUAAAAUCUCCAUCGUUCAUCAUUGUUUGACCACAAAGAUUCUUGCCGUAGAUCUGGGUAUGACCUGAAACUUCUCAGCCUGUUAAAGGUAUUGUAACUAGCCGUCCGAUCCUGAUACUGACCAUCAUCAUACCAUCUAUAAGCAGGAGUUGACGGAUAGGAUCUCUGAACAUCCUGCUGUACAUUUGAUGAAGAAGCUGAUGAUGAUGAUGAUAGUCUCUGAUAACUUGUACUGCUUUCAUUACUGGUGUUAGGGC